This is a long non-coding RNA of Zalophus californianus (California sea lion), 549 nucleotides long. RefSeq lists it as uncharacterized. NCBI's taxonomy places the organism in Eukaryota, Metazoa, Chordata, Mammalia, Carnivora, Otariidae. The record is from RefSeq and is a predicted model, not a curated record. The transcript is spliced from 3 exons.
GUAUUCAUCAAACAGAAAAAGAUGGCAGCAAAUGAGUUUAUUCACAAGAGCUAUUAUAGCCCUGGUGCGCUCUGCGGUCCUGCAAACUCGGAAAAAUACUGCCUUCCACCCUCCUCCCUGCUAAGGCCAGAGGCCUCGAAGCCCUGCUCUCAGCUAAUCGCCACAGGAGCAAGAAGCAACAGAAGCUCGUCCUAACCAAGGACCGUUUCCUGUAAACCCUGCCUACAAAUUGCAGCAACAAAACAAGAUAAAUGCGACAGUAACCGACAUGGGAAGACCAGGGAUGAGAUGGCUGGUGGAAGGCUGACGGGCAUCAUUUGAGUGUAAAGCAGUUUAGUGAAAUUCCUUUUGAUUUCAACCCUGAACAGAAGCUACAUAUACCUUUAUGUCACCUCCCUCAGCAAGCUCUGGAGUGUCGGCAGCUUGCUGAAGGUGGGGCUCCUUGUGGUCCACGUUAGUGGGCUACGCCUGAGGCUCCUUACCUCUGAGAUCCUAGACAAAGGAUUCUCUAAACCUUGAUGAUCUGUAUGAUGGGGAUGCUAACUUAAU